GAUGAAGAACGUAGCGAAAUGCGAUACGUAAUGUGAAUUGCAGAAUUCAGUGAAUCAUCGAGUCUUUGAACGCACAUUGCGCCCCCUGGUAUUCCGGGGGGCAUGCCUGUCCGAGCGUCAUUGCUGCCCUCAAGCACGGCUUGUGUGUUGGGCCUCCGUCCUCCUCCCGGGGGACGGGCCCGAAAGGCAGCGGCGGCACCGCGUCCGGUCCUCGAGCGUAUGGGGCUUCGUCACCCGCUCUUGUAGGCCCGGCCGGCGCUUGCCGACACAUCAAUCCUUUUUUCCAGGUUGACCUCGGAUCAGGUAGGGAUACCCGCUGAACUUAAGCAUAUCAAUAAGCGGAGGA
RNAcentral lists this unclassified non-coding RNA (346 nucleotides) under soil metagenome. RNAcentral's name for it is "partial contains 5.8S ribosomal RNA, internal transcribed spacer 2, and large subunit ribosomal RNA". The stretch from base 1 to 120 matches the Rfam family "5.8S ribosomal RNA", at positions 35 to 154 of the family's 154-position model. The record is from RNAcentral.